CCCCUUUGAUCCUCUGUUUUGUUUCUUAAAUUCCACAUAUGAAGGCAGCCUGGGUUACUCAGCAGUUUAGUGCUGCCUUCAGCCCAGGGCAGGAUCCUGGAGAUCCAGGAUCCGGUCCCACGUCAGGCUCCCUGCAUGGAGCCUGCUUCUCCCUCUGCCUGUGUCUCUGCCUCUCUCUCUGCAUCUCUCUGUGUCUGUCAUGGAUAAAUAAAUAAAAUCUUUUAAAAAAAUUCCACAUAUGAGUGAGAUCAUAUUUUAAUUCUUUUUCUCUGAUUGACUUAUUUCAUUCAGCAUAAUAUCUUCUAGUUCCAUCCCUGUCAUUGCAAAUGGAAAGAUUUCAUUUUUUGAUGGCUGAGUAGUAUUCCAUUGUGUAUGUGUAUAUACAUAUAUACACACCAUAUCUUCUUUAUCUACUCAUCUGUUGAUGGACAUCUGUGCUCUUUCCAUAGUUUGACUAUUGUGGACAUUGUUGCUAUAAAUAUUGAGGUGCAGGUGUCCCUUCAGAUCACUACAUUUGUAUCUUUGGGGUAAAUACCCAGUAAUGCAAUUGCUGGUUCAUAGGAUAGCUCUAUUUUUAAAUUUUUGAGGAACCUCCAUACUGUUUUCCUGAGUGGCUGCACCAGCUUACAUUCCCAAGUCUGGUGUUUUAUAAUAGCAUAGAAUGGCUUUGACUGGCAAUGUAGGUAUUAAGUGAUUUUUGUUUCGCUUUCAUUUAAAAUUAGUGUACUGAAUUCUUGUUACAUGAAACACUAAAUUCUCUAUAUCUGUCAUUUAAAACAACUUUAAUUUGAUCCAGUAUUUUUUUUUCUGAAAGUAGACAUUAAAUCAGACAAUAAUUUGUAAUGGAAAUUGUGGGUUCAAUACGAGAAUUAGUGCCUUGCUAAAACUUUUGUUUCUUCAUUCCCCUCUUUAAAAUAGGUUUUGUUUUCUUACUAUUCUUGAAGGUUUAUUCAUAUUUUCUUAAACAUACACAGUGAGAUAAUACUUGAAAUAAUGUGAUGGUAUUUUUUAUUAGAAGUCAGUAAUGUUCACAUUAUUCAUAAGGCACAGGAUCAAAAGGGAAUAAUAUACAUCUUGUGAACAAGUAGACAUAUAAAUUAGUAACUACCAAAAGAACCUCAUGCUUCACUUGUGUUUGCUAGGUUAAACAUGUUUGAUGUUUAAGUGGUCCAUUUAGGAUUAGGAGUAUGUCUAUAAAUCAAGAGAAUACCAUUCAUUUUUUUAUGUUCAGCAAAUAUCUAAUUUGACAUCAUGAGAUCAAAAAGUAAAGUGAAUUUUUUAGAAUAAUUAGAGUAAUUCCAAUAGGCCAAAAGCAUUUUCCUUGUAAGCUCUCUAUACAGGAGAUACAGAUCUUUUUAAUUUAAAGAGUUAAUUAACUUUUUAAUCAUAGCUAAAGGGAAAGAUCAUGGCACUAGGGAUCAAUUUGCAAAUUCAAUAAUUUCUGUAUAUGGCCCUUUUGUUGUGUCACUACAAAUAUGCACAUAAUAUUUUGAUUGGCUGGGUUUAGUCACAAAAAGAGAAGUCAAAUUAACCUAAGUGAAAAACACAGAUCAGCUUUGUCUUUCACAAGCAAAGCUGCCUAAAAUAAAAGCUAACAGAUCAUUUCCAAAAUGUAACAUUUAUUGAAGUGCACACCCAAUAUCUUUGAGUACAUACCCGAAAGACGAUGACACAAGAAGGAAUGGAAUGUAAAAUGAGAGACAUGACAACAUGAUCCUAAAAGCUAACAGAGGAUGAAUUCAUUUUUAGUUAAAUAUUUCAGAGAAAAUUAGUCAUAUAUUUUCAGUUGUCUUAAAGGAUCAUUACAGAGAAUAGUGAUACUGGGCUAUGGUAGUAGUGGAAAUGGAGAAUAAGGGUGUGAUGGAAGGAAAUAAGCCUUGUUUAGAUGCCAUAUAGAAUCUUGAGAGUGAUGAGAGCUAAUAUAGGAAAAGUAGGUUGAAUGUCCAUUAUGGGUGAUUUUUUAUAUAUCUAUAUAUGAGUACAGAUAUGUAUGUGUAUCUAUCUAUAUCUAUACCUACAUCUACUGAGCUGAAAUAUCUUUCCAUAUAAUGCUCAAAAUAUAAUCAUGAAGGCUUAUGAACACAGAUGUAAGAAUAUCCUGGGUUUCUUUUUUUCCAGAGCAAAAUUGCAUUCAUGACUUAUGCAUGUCAAUGCUAUGACAGAGAAUUAAUUGGCACCAAUGAAAUGAGGCAUUGUGUCUUGGCAUUCAGACUCCUCAUAUAAACAUCUUCCAUUAAAAAGUUCAGUUCAAGAGACGCUCCUCCAUAAUACCUUUAUUUACUCUAAUGUAUUAAAAACAUGUGGGGCCAGAAUAGGGCUUGCAAAUGUAUCUAACUCCUCCCCCAAGAAAACUCAUGCUGAAGGGUAUAGGCCUGUGUGAUGAUUAACUAUUUCUCAGGCCUUAGGAAGUGCUUAAAAACCAUUGUUUACUCACUGGGCAUCCAGGACCAUGGAUGUCUGUGGCAUUUCCCUUCACCCCAGGGAUUCUCAGAUCUUGGUCUAAGAAUUGUUCAUAAAAUGAUGUCAUAAUGAAUGCACUGAUGAAGCACUGUCAGCUGCUGCUUGCAAAGAUAGGACAAAAUCACAGCACUGUCUAAUGCUUUCCUGCAUUCUCAGAGUCAGUUGUGAAUAGUCUCUAUCAGCCAGAUGUGAACUUAAUCCACUGUAGUCAGCUAACUUUGGGAUGACUCUACACCUACGUUGCUGACCAUAAUUAUUUCCUGCUGUAGGAACACUACUCUCACUGCAUGUGAACCUUGUUUGGAUUUCCUGUAUUGGCUGCCAUGUCAGGUUAUAAAACAGUUUUUUUUUAAAGUAUGAAAUCUGUAAGAGCUCUAUAAAAGUAAGAUGUUAAUUAGCAUUCCCCAAAUCCUUGUUCUACUGAUGUUUAUCUAGAGAAAGAUUUCUUUUUCAGUAUUUAUAAAAUAGUAUUUAAGGUCUCCAUUAUAGGUGAAAGAAGCUGAUUCCCAUGGACAAUCUAAUUUAGCUAUAAACCACAUGACUAACCACAUCCAUCCCACUUCAUUUAGCACAAACAUGGAAGGUAAGAAAAGGUCUACUCCAAGCAACAAUAAGCAGAUGGUGCUUGCUUCCAAAGUUUCUUCCAUCCUUUCUGAAUAUUGCUCCCAUUCCUCCUCCCUCAACAAUCAAGUGGCAUGGGGGAUAUAUAACAAACAGAGAUUUUUUCUUUGGCUCAAAAAAAAUUCUUUAUCUUGUCAAGAAAUUUACACUUACUAUGGGAAAAUGCUUUUUGACACUUAAGAGUUCUACCUAAAGAUUCAUUAAAGUUUCACUUCACUGAAGUAACUUGGUGUAUCCCAUUACAAAUCUAGGUCAAAGUAAACCAUGAUUCUGGCUACAUGUCUGAUGGCCAAUGGCUAAAUAAGCCAUUUUGACCUGAAAUAAAUUCUUCUGUGCUGCUUCUCACUCCAAAACAGUGGUUUACAAACUUCUCUUCUCAGUGACACACCAAGCAACAACAUUUAUGUGUUCAAUUUACUCUCAUGGGCACAUCAUCCACAAACUUUAUUUCGUCAAGUGCUUUGGUGAUUCAGAAUCUCCACAGUUUUUAAUGACCCUCUAGUCAGGGGCUGAGGGAUGUACAAUUUCUGAGUUAGCUACAGCUCUAUUCUCUCCUGCAAAGUAUACCAGAAUGCAGGCAAGUGAGACACCACGACACAAAUAAGCUUUAAAGCAUUCUAAUUUAUAUUAUAAAAACUAACUCAUUUACAAACUCAGUAUUCUAAGACUUCUCCAAAUCAAAUGAUUUUAUGACACUUAAUCCAUACAAUUCAGUGCCAGGACGGGAAGUUGAAAUGUGCUGCUCUAAAAGAGGAUGUCAACCAGUUCUGGGGCAGCAUGUGAACCCUAGUAGUGGCAGUAUUAGGCUUGCAGUUAGAAUCCUAGUUACUAAGAACUUCAGGCACUGUGAUGAAAGUGCUGGUUUCAUUGGCACACUUUGUUCAAUCUCUACUGAAAUAUCUGUGUACAGGAUGGAGAAAUAACACAGGAGAACUAUUAGAAUUCCAUUUAGGUCUAAUAAUAGUGUAAUAUAGAUACAAGUUUGUUAGAAACAACAAAGAUGGAAGGAAAUUAGAAUAGUGAUUCAGCUUGAGGUAAAGAGUACCAUAUCUGGCUCCUGAGCCAUUUUCUCUUAAUUCUGGUGCAUCACAAAUGCCAGUAAGAAGCUGAGAAGAUCAGUUAGUUGUACAAAUAAAUGGGUCAUUGACCAGGAAGAAAUGGUUGAUGGUCCCUGGAGAUAUAUGGGCUUUGGGACUCCAGAAAUUCUUUUGACUUGAACGUAAUUUGUACUCUCUCCCCCUAUUCCCUCAUUUCCCUUGAUCACUUCAGAUCUAAAGACUAAUUACAUUAUGAUUUUUGGGUGAAUUAGUGCCACUGUGGAAUUUAAUGAUGGGGACUGGGCUUUGCAAGCUACUUCUUUCUCUGCAGCAACUCCUGUAAAAAAGCUGAUCAAGGGGUACCUGGGUGGCUCAGUGGUUGAGCAUCUCCCUUUGGCUCAGGUCGUGAUCCCAGGAUCCUGGGAUCAAGUCCCAUAGUGAGCCUGCUUCUCCCUCUGCCUGUGUCUCUCCCUCUCUCUGUGUGCCUCUCAUGAAUAAAUAAAUACAAUCUUUUUAAAAAGCUGAUAGAAGAAUAUAAAUGGAUGGGACCCCAGUUCCAGUCAUCUAAUCCUGUGAAGUACAGAAACACUUUUUCACACCCUUACUUCAUAACAACACAUAGAUUCUCAGAGACAUAUUUCCUCUGAGCAGCUACAACAAAACUUCUCUCUACAACUGCACAAUCACACAUAUUUCUGCAACAGUGGCCUGUCCCAACAUAUGAAACAAAUGCCAGCAAAGUUUAUGUUAGUUUAAAUAUUGUAAUUUCAAUACAGUGUCUGACAAACUGAAUUUAUUGAAGAGACUUGUCUAGGAUAAAAAUGCAAUUGGUUGUCAUAGCCACACAUAUUUUUUGUGUGUUUUCUGAGUCUGUUUGUGGAAUCUAACUACAAAUAACUCUUUGUCCCAUUUGAAUGAGAACACACUGGAAUGGCCGCCUGAAAAUGUAAUAAUCUUGUCUUAAUAUCAAUUUUCUCAAGACUCAGUUAAAACAAACAAGAAAAGCCUUUUCCUGUAUCUCAACCAAGUCUGAUAAGCAUCUAGGGCUAUUUCUUUAUAAAAUUUUCACAAAACACACUCCCACACUCCAAAAUGCUCUCAUGAAACCAAAUAAUUGCUACCAUUUUCCUCUUUCUAUUGUUAUAUUAAUACACACACAGACACAUAUGCAGUCUUGCACACACAUACACACACACAUACAUCUGCACAUUGUCUGGAGGUAUUUGCUAUACAAACACCUCAACAUCCUCACUUUUCUUUAUCUUGGGCUUGGGUAUGCAACAUUUUUCAGACUUUUCAAUAAUAUGCUAAUAGCAAAUUAGGCUUUUAUGUGAUCUAUGGAUUAUGUUCUUCCAGGAACUGCCAAUUUUACUCUAAUAUGAUUCCAGUAUGCUGAGAGAGUUAUUCAAGCUAGAAUGUGCUGAAGAGAUGAAUGUGGCUUCCAUGCAGGGCAUAUUUCAACUUUUCCCAAAUAACAUUCUUGUAGAGAUUAGAGGAUAGUCUGGCAGCCAGACCCAGCCAAUUAAAACAGUAAUUGAAAUGGUUGAAAAUGUUUUCCUUGGCAAAAUCUGGUUAUUUUGCUUCAUUUUGGGUUUCCUUGAAUAACAACAACAACAAAAUAGGGUCAAUCAUAAGACUGCUAAUUUAUUUUCUUGGUUAUCUUUUCUCAUCAAACAAAGAAGGGCUGCUGUGUAGCCAAAAUGAAGACUUGAACACUGCAGUAUGGAUUAUAUGAGAGUACACAGAGCAAUUCUUAAGCUAACAACAGUAAAUCUCUUCUCGGCAGAGAAUAUGUGGGAAUUUCUGUUGUGGGUGAAAGGGGUAAAAUGAGGAGGGGGGUUCAGUAGGAAAUAAAAAUACAGAAGAGGCAUCCUUGGAAAAUGUAGGUUUACUUUCUCCCAGAUCAAUAGAUACUUAAACAUUGAGAUUUCUAAUUCAAAGAUAACUGAAUUAAAGAAUUAAAAAAUCAAUUUAUGUGCCUUACUUCUCUUCUGCUGGAAUCAGUUGUGUGCCACUAAAUGUUUAAUCGUCAUCUGGGAUCCGAGAGCAUCUGAUUUUUUAGCAUUAGCCAAUGUCCAUGAUGUAAACACUUUUUUUGUGUGUGGCUAAUUUCAAUAUACCAACCCGACAUUCCUGAAUAUAAGAGCUGGAACGCAACAUGCACAGUCAACUUUUGCAAGCCACCGUAAGCCGCUCCAGCACAUCACUGAGUGAAGUCAUAGUUUUACAAAGAAGACAGAUAUGAAAAUGCAAUCUAGACUGACAUUGGAUAAAAAUACCGAUAAAGGAAAUUAGUAGGCAAAAAUUAUCAUCUUACAAAUCAAUCAAAGUUUUGCUGGUUGAAAUUGUAAAACAUAUUUGGAUAUGAGAAAAUCCAAAUCAUAGCAUUGAUUUUAAAAGAAAAACACUUUCUUAUGUCAAUCCACCCUUCUUCCCUUUCAAACCCUACUUGUAAGCUCAAAUCCUCUAAAGAAGUCUGAAAAUAGGUGGUGUAUCCAUUUUAGCAUCCUCUUUGAAUUAAAACCAUUUCAAAAUGCCAUGUACUAGCUGGGCAAACCCCACACACAGUAGAAUCAUGUGGGGAGCUUCCAUGAAGUACUCAUUCCUUGAUCCUACCCAGGAUCAACUAAAUUAGAAGGCUUUUUUGAGGGUGUCAUGAGGUCAUUAUCUCGGGGUCCUAGUAUUGAACCUUGUAUCCAGGCUCCAGGUUCAGCCAGCAGUCUGCUUUUCCCUCUGCCCCUCCCCCUGCUCAUGGUCUCUCUCUCUCUCUCUCUAAUGAAUUCACAAAAUCUUAAAAAAAAAAAAAAAA
This 6927-nucleotide long non-coding RNA is filed under the name Canis lupus familiaris (dog). RNAcentral describes it as "lncRNA (ENSCAFG00000058611.1)". Lineage: Eukaryota; Metazoa; Chordata; Mammalia; Carnivora; Canidae. The record is from RNAcentral.